ACAUGGCCGCCGCCGCCGCUGGGAGCUGAAGUGCCGCCGCCGCCGGGCAGCCGGGGGGAAUCCGCCCGCAUCGCCGCCCUCGCCGGCCGGGCGGCCGUGGGGCCCAGAGCGCCGGAGGCCAGGGCUGGGGCGGCACCGCGCAGCGGCCACGGGGUCCCGUUAGAGCAGCGCCCGGCGGCUAUGCCAAGAGCCCGGAGCGGCCGGAGGAGCAGAGGGGCCGGCGGGAGGGAGGAAGUAGACCUUUCUGCGAGUACGAGCCAACCGGCAGACCCGACUGAAUGCUCGGAUUGGGAAAAUGAAACGGAGGAAGCAAGAUGAAGGGCAGGUAUGUCCCCUGUGCAACCGCCCCCUGGCAGGAUCGGAGCAGGAGAUGAGUAGGCAUGUGGAGCAUUGCCUUUCUAAGAGGGAAGGCUCCUGCAUGGCUGAGGAUGAUGCUGUGGACAUCGAGCAUGAGAACAACAACCGCUUUGAGGAGUAUGAGUGGUGUGGACAGAAGCGGAUACGGGCCACCACUCUCCUGGAAGGUGGCUUCCGAGGCUCUGGCUUCAUCAUGUGCAGCGGCAAAGAGAACCCGGACAGUGAUGCUGACUUGGAUGUGGAUGGGGAUGACACUCUGGAGUAUGGGAAGCCACAAUACACGGAGGCUGAUGUCAUCCCCUGCACAGGCGAGGAGCCUGGUGAAGCCAAGGAGAGAGAGGCACUCCGGGGCGCAGUCCUAAA
This 720-nucleotide small RNA is filed under the name Pongo abelii (Sumatran orangutan). RNAcentral's name for it is "processed transcript". The record is from RNAcentral. Lineage: Eukaryota; Metazoa; Chordata; Mammalia; Primates; Hominidae.